GUGCCAGCAGCCGCGGUAAUACGGAGGGGGUUAGCGUUGUUCGGAAUUACUGGGCGUAAAGCGCACGUAGGCGGACUAAUAAGUUAGAGGUGAAAUCCCAGGGCUCAACCCUGGAACUGCCUUUAAUACUGUUAGUCUAGAGUUCGAGAGAGGUAAGUGGAAUUCCCAGUGUAGAGGUGAAAUUCGUAGAUAUUCGAGGAACACCAGUGGCGAAGGCGGCUUACUUGGCUUCGAUACUGACGCUGAGGUGCGAAAGUGUGGGGAGCAAACAGGAUUAGAUACCCUGGUAGUCC
Molecule: ribosomal RNA, 293 nt
Filed under: uncultured microorganism
Description: partial 16S ribosomal RNA
Rfam family: Bacterial small subunit ribosomal RNA
Source: RNAcentral